RNAcentral lists this ribosomal RNA (253 nucleotides) under uncultured bacterium. Its description in RNAcentral is "partial 16S ribosomal RNA". It matches the Rfam family "Bacterial small subunit ribosomal RNA", at positions 524 to 776 of the family's 1533-position model. The record is from RNAcentral.
UACGGAGGAUGCAAGCGUUAUCCGGAUUCAUUGGGUUUAAAGGGUGCGUAGGCGGAAUAAUAAGUCAGUGGUGAAAGCCUGCGGCUUAACCGUAGAAUUGCCAUUGAUACUGUUAUUCUUGAGUAUAGUUGAAGUGGGCGGAAUGUGUAAUGUAGCGGUGAAAUGCUUAGAUAUUACACAGAACACCAAUUGCGAAGGCAGCUCACUAAGCUGUUACUGACGCUGAGGCACGAAAGCGUGGGGAGCAAACAGG